AAUGGGUCAGCGACUUAUAUUCUGUAGCAAGGUUAACCGAAUAGGGGAGCCGGAGGGAAACCGAGUCUUAACCGGGCGUUAAGUUGCAGGGUAUAGACCCGAAACCCGGUGAUCUAGCCAUGGGCAGGUUGAAGGUUGGGUAACACUAACUGGAGGACCGAACCGACUAAUGUUGAAAAAUUAGCGGAUGACCUGUGGCUGGGGGUGAAAGGCCAAUCAAACCGGGAGAUAGCUGGUUCUCCCCGAAAGCUAUUUAGGUAGCGCCUCGUGAAUUCAUCUCCGGGGGUAGAGCACUGUUUCGGCUAGGGGGCCAUCCCGGCUUACCAACCCGAUGCAAACUGCGAAUACCGGAGAAUGUUAUCACGGGAGACACACGGCGGGUGCUAACGUCCGUCGUGAAGAGGGAAACAACCCAGACCGCCAGCUAAGGUCCCAAAGUCAUGGUUAAGUGGGAAACGAUGUGGGAAGGCCCAGACAGCCAGGAUGUUGGCUUAGAAGCAGCCAUCAUUUAAAGAAAGCGUAAUAGCUCACUGGUCGAGUCGGCCUGCGCGGAAGAUGUAACGGGGCUAAACCAUGCAC
Molecule: ribosomal RNA, 579 nt
Filed under: Salmonella enterica subsp. enterica serovar Carmel
Lineage: Bacteria; Pseudomonadati; Pseudomonadota; Gammaproteobacteria; Enterobacterales; Enterobacteriaceae
Description: partial 23S ribosomal RNA
Rfam family: Bacterial large subunit ribosomal RNA
Source: RNAcentral